This 301-nucleotide ribosomal RNA is filed under the name uncultured bacterium. RNAcentral describes it as "partial 16S ribosomal RNA". It matches the Rfam family "Bacterial small subunit ribosomal RNA", at positions 509 to 807 of the family's 1533-position model. The record is from RNAcentral.
CAGUAGCCGCGGUAAUACGGAGGGUGCAAGCGUUAAUCGGAAUUACUGGGCGUAAAGCGCACGCAGGCGGUUUGUUAAGUCAGAUGUGAAAUCCCCGAGCUUAACUUGGGAACUGCAUUUGAAACUGGCAAGCUAGAGUCUUGUAGAGGGGGGUAGAAUUUCAGGUGUAGCGGUGAAAUGCGUAGAGAUCUGGAGGAAUACCGGUGGCGAAGGCGGCCCCCUGGACAAAGACUGACGCUCAGGUGCGAAAGCGUGGGGAGCAAACAGGAUUAGAUACCCGUGUAGUCCCUGUCUCUUAUAC